UACGGAAGGCAGCAGUGGGGAAUAUUGCACAAUGGGCGAAAGCCUGAUGCAGCUAUGCCGCGUGUAUGAAGAAGGCCUUAGGGUUGUAAAGCACUUUCAUCGGGGAGGAAAAACAAAACUAAUAAUUUUAUUUCUUGACGUUACCCGAAAAAGAAGCACCGGCUAACUCCGUGCCAGCAGCCGCGGUAAUACGGAGGGUGCUAGCGUUAAUCAGAAUUACUGGGCGUAAAGAGCACGUAGGUGGUUUUUUUAAGUCAGAUGUGAAAUCCCUGGGCUUAACCUAGGAACUGCAUUUUGAAACUGAAAUACUAGAGUAUCGUAGAGGGAGGUAGAAUUCUAGGUGUAGCGGUGAAAUGCGUAGAUAUCUGGAGGAAUACCUGUGGCGAAAGCGGCCUCCUAAACGAAUACUGACACUGAGGUGCGAAAGCGUGGGGAGCAAACAGGGAUUAGAUA
This 453-nucleotide ribosomal RNA is filed under the name uncultured bacterium. Its description in RNAcentral is "bacterial SSU rRNA". It matches the Rfam family "Bacterial small subunit ribosomal RNA", at positions 340 to 784 of the family's 1533-position model. The record is from RNAcentral.